This 942-nucleotide ribosomal RNA is filed under the name Triticum aestivum (bread wheat). RNAcentral's name for it is "partial small subunit ribosomal RNA". The record is from RNAcentral. Lineage: Eukaryota; Viridiplantae; Streptophyta; Magnoliopsida; Poales; Poaceae.
AUGGACCCGCAGUCGCACUCGCACUCGCAGUCGCACUCGCCACCGCCAGCAGCUGACGACGACCCCGACGCGAUGCCGAGGGAGCAGCAGCAGCGGGAGGAGGCGCCGCCGGGCUACGUGCCGCCGAUGAGCCCCGAGGAGGUGGCGGCCGUCGAGGCGCUCCUCUGCUACGAAUUCAAGGACAAGUCCCUGGUCGGGCUGGCCCUCACGCACGGCUCCUUCUACUUGCCCUACCGCUCCGGCGACGCCACCUACGAGCGGCUCGAGUACCUGGGCGACGCCGUGCUCACCUGCCUCGUGUCCCGGGAGGUCUUCCUCACCUACCGGGACCUCCCGCCCGGCCCGCUCACGCGCCUCCGCGCCGCCAACGUCGACAAGGAGAAGCUCGCGCGCAUCGCCGUCGACCACGGCAUCCACCGCUUCCUCCGCCACAAGGCGCCCAAGCUCGAGGAACAGAUUGCUGAUUUUGUGAAAGAAUUGUGUCAGUAUGAAUACCACUCCAAUGGGCUAUUGGAUGCUCCAAAAGUGCUAUCUGACAUCGUGGAAUCUCUUAUUGGUGCCAUAUAUCUUGACUCCAAGUACAAUCAAGAGCUAGUUUGGCAGGUUUUUCGAAAGUUGGCUAAUCCACUUAUUAGCCUUGAGUCAUUAGGGAAGCAUCCAGUAAGCGAGCUAUUAGAGUUUGGCCAAAAGACUGGUCGAAUAGUGGAUAUCUCUAAAGAUGGGUGGGUUAAGGAUACGAAGGUUGAUGUAUUUGUUGACGGUGUGCUGGUUGCAAGCGCGACUUAUGCUCAAAAGAAAGAGAUAGCUUCAAACCGCGCCGCGAAGGCUGCUCUAGACAAAUUGAAGGAGAUGUCGGGGCAAUCCGAUGUUCUAUCAGCCCCAGGAGAAGCUCCCGAGCCGUUGGACGAAUUGGGUCGUGCUGGAGCUUUAGAGCUCCAGUGA